UAUUUAUAUCACAAGCAAUGAGAAAGGAAUUAUUGUUACUUUGUGUUUGGUUAGUAUUUUAAAAUAAUUUUUGUUCUGUGUUUUCUUCUAGGACAUAGGCAUGGGCAAAGAUUUCAUGACUAAAACACCAAAAGCAAUGGCAAUAAAAGCCAAAAUUCACAAAUGGGAGCUAAUUAAACUAAAGAGCUUCUGCACAGCAAAAGAAAUGAUAGUCAGAGUGAACAGGCAACUUACAGAAUGGAAGAAAAUUUUUGUAAGCUAUCCGAUAAAGGGCUAAUAUCUAGAAUCUACAAUAAAUGUAAACACAUUUACAAAAAAAAAAAGCAAAACCCCCAUCAAAAACUGGGCAAAGUAUAUGAACAUCCACUUCUCAAAAGAAGAUAUUUAUGUGGCCAAGAAACAUAUGAAAAAAAGCUCAUCAUCACUGGUCAUUAGGGAAAUGCAAAUCAAAACCACAUUGAGAUAUCAUCUCAUACCAGUUAGAAUGGCGAUCAUUAAAGAGUCAGGAAACAGAGCAGAUGCUGAGAGGAUGUGGAGAAACAGGAAAGCUUUUACACUGUUGGUGGGAGUGUAAAUUAGUUCAACUGUUGUGGAAGACAGUGUGGUCAUUCCUCAAGGUUCUAGAACCAGAAAUACCAUUUGACCCAGCAAUCCCAUUACUGGGUAUAUACCCAAAGGAUUAGAAAUCAUUCUACUAUAAAGACACAUGCACAUGUAUGUUUAUUGCAGCACUGUUCACAAUAGCAAAGACUUGGAACCAACCCAAUGCCCAUCAGUGGUAGACUGGAUAAAGAAAAUGUGACUCAUAUACACCAUGGAAUACUAUGCAGCCAUAAAAAGGAUGAGUUUGUGUCCUUUGCAAGGACAUGGAUGAAGCUGGAAACCAUCAUUCUCAGCAAACUAACACAGGAACAGAAAGCAAACACCGCAUGUUCUCACUCACAGAAUCCCCUUUUCAUGGAGCAUCUGGAUGAAUUUUUGUUCCAUGAAACCAACUGUGAGGAAUCCUGUUACACACACAGUCACUCAUAUGAUAUUUAUUGAAUGUCUAGUAUGAACCAAUUGUUCUGCUACUGCUGGGAUACAGAAGGUACUGGGAAUGCAACUCUUGCCCUCAAGGGGUAGUGGUCUCAAUGGGUUUAGGGUGAAAGAAGCCAUAGCCAAUAUGGAAAUGAAUGGCCAAGACUAUGUUCCAAUAAAACUUUAUUUAUAAAACCAAUGGCAGGCUGGAUUUAGUCCUUGGGCUACAGGUUACCAAUUCUUGGCUUAAUGAUAAAUAAGCCAAACUACAAACCGGUGUGACUGUGAUCUUGUAUGUACUAUUUGGACAUAUUGGAGGGACACUUUAUCUAGCUUUGGUGGUAGUGGUGAUUCCAGGUUAAGGUCAACAAAAUCUUUAAAAGAACUCUGAAAACAGCUGGAUGAGAAAGAGCUAUUCAGAUGGAGGGACAAGGUGGGCAGGGUGUCCCAGUCAGAAGGGACAAAAUGGUCCAUUGCGAUACAGCAUGGUGUUGUAAUAUCAUUAAGAUGUUCAUCAAUAUUUUGAUUUUCCUCCUGCUUGCAGUCACACUGUUAUACCACACUUCUGUACCCUGCCCUAAAAGUAAGCAUGGCCAUACAACUUACUUUGGCCAUGAAAUGUGAGAAGAAUGACAUGGACUAUCUCUGAGUGGAAGAUGUCAGAGCCGGUGUUCAAUUCUCUGUAGUCACAUUUCUUGCUGCAGGGAUCAUAGAAGCUCUUGUUGAGGUAGAACCUCUAACUGCCUUGGUUUCUGAGAGAUUAUAAUGACAAAUUCCACCCCCACAUCCUGCCCCCCAAAAAACUUACACUGGAAAUUUAGUGUGAGAUUCUGAUAAAACUUGGUAGAGUAAAACCACUGCAAUAGUGGGGAUUGUGUUUUUAUUCUAGCAUAGCAUAACCUCUCCUGCCUCUUACAAUGUGCUCCUGAGCCUGAAAAUAUGGAUGGCUUUGUCCUGGGUACUGAGGUAAAGACAAGGACUUCAAGAAGUUCACAAUGUAUUGGCACUCAGUAAUGACACAAAGCAAAAUACGGUAGGAUGUCUGAGAAAAGUAAAAAGUGCUUGAGAAUCACAGAAAAGAGAAGGCCCAUCCUAGGACCUGUCAAAAAAGUUCCAUUGAAAAGAUGCCGCUGCAACAACUCUUAAGAGCUGUAAAGAACAAUGAGGGUUCUGUUAAGCCAUUACAUGCAUUGGGGAGGAAAAGGCUUAUAGGUGAUAAGAAGAUGAGACAAAGUAUGGAAGCCAAAAACUAUGACUUAAAACAUAGUUUGGAAGCAAGACAAAAGAAUCAAACCCAAUGAAUGGGGACACUUAUAUGCCAUGCUGAGGGGUUAGAACUUUGAGGUGGAGUGGGCAGAGCAAUUGAUGCAGAGUCGGAAGAUCGGAUUUCUGGUGGCCUUCCUACUAAUUACCAGCUGGUAAGGAAAAGGGUGUCUCUCUGCAUUGUCCCCAUGCAUUACAGCCCACGGGCUACUGAUUGGGCUUGCACUGAAAUGCUGUUCUCAGGGUGGCACAGUCCUGGUCAGAGUCCAGUUUCUCUCCCUGAAAACAGAAUCACUCGGCUAGUCCAUGGCUAAGCCUGCACUAGAAUUGAAAUUUCCUGACUUUCAGGCGAGAGCCCUAUAAUACCACACUGCCACUAGAAACUGAGACUCCUAACCUAGGAUCAUAUUCUUCAAGUAUACCCUAAAGGAUAUAGAAAGUCAGAGAGCAAAAGCUGUACCUGGAGGGAUUGGAGGAGCAACUCCAUGAGGGCAAAGGAGUUGCCACAGUACACCUCACCUUGGUCCAUAGAGUUUGGAAUCAAGGUAUAAAUAAAAGCCUGAAAUUCCUAUAGUUAGGUUGUCUUUGACCUCAGCCUAAUGCUUCUGUUAGUAUCCACUUAUGGGCUUAUAUUUCUCGAUAUUUUGCAAAUUCCUUUUCAAAAGGCUAUUUAUUGUUAUGUUAAUACCUGCUAAUGGUUAGUGUCAAGACAAUACUGUUCUAUGAGUAGUAAGUUUUAAAGUUUGAUGAAUGGCUCUCUGUUUCAGAAGCAGUGGGUGCAGAGCACUGAAUUGGGAGUCAGAUAAGUUGGAUCUAGUCUAAAUUCCAAAACUUGCUAAAUUUAAUACCUUUGUAUAAGACACCCCCUUUUGGAAUUUUCUCACCCAAUAUCCUGAAAGGGAUGAAUAAACUACUUGUAAAUCUUUUUAAAUAAAAGGUAUUAUUUUUGUUGUUAUAAAUGUGGUUUUCCAAGUUUAACCAAGAAGGAAGAGAUGAUGGCUCUAGGACAUUG
Callithrix jacchus (white-tufted-ear marmoset) is the source of this 3295-nucleotide long non-coding RNA. The record is from Ensembl. Lineage: Eukaryota; Metazoa; Chordata; Mammalia; Primates; Cebidae.